AUGGCCACCAGCCACCGUUUGCCACAAUUUUAUGCCCAGGAGCUCCGUCUGCCUCGUCUACUUCAUCUACGGCCAUCAGUUCGAGUCCCCUCGCGCUACAUCGCCAGGAUCGAGUCUUCUUCCUCCUUCGGCCACUUCCGUUCUCCAUCGACCCCGUCACCGUUCUGCGCUCCUAAGCUCUCAACGAGCCUCCGUGCGCUCCUUGACCCCGAGACUGUCGGCGACCCUCAGUUCGACUACGUCACCGACGACCCCUCCUUCUUGCCAGAGCAACCAGACGUUGGAGUCCAGGAGCCAGAGGAUCCCGAGGAUGGUUCUGCAAGGAGUUCGGCUUUGAGGAGUAGUUAG
Molecule: ribosomal RNA, 348 nt
Filed under: Triticum aestivum (bread wheat)
Lineage: Eukaryota; Viridiplantae; Streptophyta; Magnoliopsida; Poales; Poaceae
Description: partial small subunit ribosomal RNA
Source: RNAcentral